RNAcentral lists this ribosomal RNA (497 nucleotides) under uncultured bacterium. RNAcentral's name for it is "partial 16S ribosomal RNA". It matches the Rfam family "Bacterial small subunit ribosomal RNA", at positions 28 to 507 of the family's 1533-position model. The record is from RNAcentral.
GAUGAACGCUGGCGGCGUGCCUAACACAUGCAAGUCGAGCGGACGGACGAGAAGCUUGCUCCCCUGAUGUUAGCGGCGGACGGGUGAGUAACACGUGGAUAACCUACCUAUAAGACUGGGAUAACUUCGGGAAACCGGUGCUACUACCGGAUAAUAUUUUGAACCGCAUGGUUCAAAAGUGAAAGACGGUCUUGCUGUCACUUAUAGAUGGUUCCGCGCUGCAUUAGCUAGUUGGUAAGGUAACGGCUUACCAAGGCAACGAUGCAUAGCCGACCUGAGAGGGUGAUCGGCCACACUGGAACUGAGACACGGUCCAGACUCCUACGGGAGGCAGCAGUAGGGAAUCUUCCGCAAUGGGCGAAAGCCUGACGGAGCAACGCCGCGUGAGUGAUGAAGGUCUUCGGAUCGUAAAGCUCUGUUAUUAGGGAAGAACAUAUGUGUAUUUAACUGUGCACAUCUUGACGGUACCUAAUCAAAAAGCCACGGCUAACUACGUG